This 699-nucleotide ribosomal RNA is filed under the name uncultured Zoogloea sp. RNAcentral's name for it is "bacterial SSU rRNA". It matches the Rfam family "Bacterial small subunit ribosomal RNA", at positions 9 to 714 of the family's 1533-position model. The record is from RNAcentral. Lineage: Bacteria; Pseudomonadati; Pseudomonadota; Betaproteobacteria; Rhodocyclales; Zoogloeaceae.
GAGUUUGAUCAUGGCUCAGAUUGAACGCUGGCGGCAUGCUUUACACAUGCAAGUCGACGGUAACAGGGAGCUUGCUCCGCUGACGAGUGGCGAACGGGUGAGUAAUAUAUCGGAACUACCCAAGAGUGGGGGAUAACGUAGCGAAAGUUACGCUAAUACCGCAUACGAUCCAAGGUGAAAGCAGGGGAUCUUCGGACCUUGUGCUCCUGGAGCGGCCGAUAUCUGAUUAGCUAGUGGUGAGGUAAAGGCUCACCAAGGCGACGAUCAGUAGCUGGUCUGAGAGGACGACCAGCACACUGGAACUGAGACACGGUCCAGACUCCUACGGGAGGCAGCAGUGGGGAAUUUUGGAAAUGGGCGCAAGCCUGAUCCAGCAAUGCCGCGUGAGUGAAGAAGGCCUUCGGGUUGUAAGCUCUUUUGUCAGGGAAGAAACGGGAGUGGCUAAUAUCCAUUCUUAAUGACGGUACCUGAGAAUAAGCACCGGCUAACUACGUGCCAGCAGCCGCGGUAAUACGUAGGGUGCAAGCGUAAUCGGAAUUACUGGGCGUAAAGCGUGCGCAGGCGGUUUUGUAAGUCUGUCGUGAAAUCCCGGGCUCAACCUGGGAAUUGCGAUGGAGACUGCAAGGCUAGAAUCUGGCAGAGGGGGGAGAAUUCCACGUGUAGCAGUGAAAUGCGUAGAGAUGUGGAGGAACACCGAUG